Molecule: unclassified non-coding RNA, 183 nt
Filed under: Homo sapiens (human)
Lineage: Eukaryota; Metazoa; Chordata; Mammalia; Primates; Hominidae
Description: phosphatidylserine synthase 2 (ENSG00000282367.1)
Source: RNAcentral
CUUACUGGAGGUUUUGGCUCUGCGUGAGUGUGGUCUACGAGCUGUUUCUCAUCUUUAUACUCUUCCAGACUGUCCAGGACGGCCGGCAGUUUCUAAAGUAUGUUGACCCCAAGCUGGGAGUCCCACUGCCAGAGAGAGACUACGGGGGAAACUGCCUCAUCUACGACCCAGACAAUGAGACUG